UGCACACGUGUGUACAUGACUGCAGGUGGGCCCAUGUGAGGCCUUCCCUAGAAUCCCUAGCAUGUAGGCUGAGGUCAGUUCCUCUGUGACCUUAGGACAUUUCUCGUAAACUGCAAGACUGAUGUACCCAGUUAUUAGCUGUUUGACCUUCAGCAAGUUAUUUACCCUCCAGCCAUCUGUUCCAUCAUCUGUGAAGUUGGGACAGUAAAAGAACUUCAAUAAGAUGCUUGUGAGGAUGAGCAAAGCCAAUGCCUAACACAUGACUGGUGUUUACUCACUGUCUCCUCACCCACUCCCCACCCCCUCCUGCCCGUGUCCCAUCCACACAUGUAACCCCAGCCAGGCACUUCGGAGCUGCCCUUCUCCCUCCCCUGUUAGGCCAGGUCUGUAAAGUGCCUUUGGCAGUCUGGAACUAAAAAAGUCUAAUGAAUAAACCGAUAAUUGAACCUAUACUGGAAGUUCUAACUUCUGAGUUUAUUCCUUAAGAUUGGAAAGAAAAUAGAGAUCAUAAUUAAUUCUGUUAGCAUUUUUACCACCUGUUUCACCAGGAGCUGUCUUUUUCUGGUCUUUGUAUAACACCAAGGGUCUGAGGAACUUGCCUGAGAGCAGCCAUGAGCUAGACUGGAACACGUGCCUGUCUCAGGUCAGCCAUUAUAUCUGAGCUGCCUGAGACGACAGAGAGGCAGGAGGAAAUCCCCCAGUGAGUUCACCAACCACCAAGCAGAGGAAGGAGGGCACCCAUUUCAGAGAGGAGAAAGAACUGCCUGCACUGAGAUUCUAAAAUCUAGGUCAAGGAGGAGAUGGUUAAGAGGACACACACUGUGUUUGCAACUCACGGAUUUCCUGGAAUCACAGGGGUUUCCCUUCCUUAGUGCUUGGCACGCUGGGAAAGCCCCACGGCCACACCAUGGAGUUUUGUACAUGGGAUGCUCUGCCCAAGUUGUGCCUGACCAUGUGUGUGGUGUCAGGCUUCAGCUGAAAACAUCAAGUGAUUUUUGCACAGCCACUCAUGACCCAUUUGUCCCUUAAGUCCCUGCAUUGGGUGUCAUCUUGUGUGCCACCUGGCAAACGAAGACCUUGCAUGUAAUGUGUCUACAGCCUGCUCAGAACUGCUGCUGCCCAAGGAGCAAACACAUCUCAGUCCUAGGCAGUUGCUGAAUAACGUGAGCUGCUGACAGGGCCACUUUUGGGGUUCUUGUGAUGGUCUUGUUCCCAUGCCCCUUUCUUACAAGAUCUCAAUCCUGAAGGCAUCAAAGGCUGGCAUUGAGAGUUGGGCACAAGUAGUCUCAAUUAGAGUUGAUCUCAAUGCGCAUCCAGCUGGGAGGAAUUCUAGAAAAGAGAAUGUCAGGUGAGUCAAUGGUUCGCAUUUCUUGGCUGUCUGUCCAAGUCCACUCUGAGGCAGUGCUCACGGCGAGGCUGAGCGUCACACGUAACGUUUCCCUUCUCUCUAUUUUUCCACUCUGCUGUUGACUUUGAGUUCAUCUGGCCUGUUCUUUGGCUUUCAGUCUCCAUGAAUUUGACUACUUUAAAUGCAUCAUAUAAGUGGAUCAUACAAUAUUUGUCUUUUUGUAACUGGCUUCAAAAGGGUUCAUCUAUGUUGUUUACAUGUGUCAGAACUUCCUUUUGAAAGGCUGAAUAAUACUCUCAUAUAUUUAUACAUCAUUUUAUUUUUCCAUUCAGCUGCUGGACUCGAGCUGCUUCCAUCGCUUGACCGUUAUGAAUAGUGCUGCUGUGUGCGUGUGUGACUAUCGAGACUCUGCUCUCGAUUCUUUUGGAAUACACUCAGAAGUGUGAUUGCUGGAUUAUCUGGUAGUAGUACUUUUUAAUUUUUUGAGGAACCUCCAUAUUGUUUUGCACAGUAGUUGCUCCAUUUUCACACUUCUCUUAACAGUGCACAGUUCCAAUUUCUCCACAUCCUAAUCAACACUUGGUUUGUUUUUGUUUUUGAUAGUGGCCAUCCUAAUGGAUGAGGUGAUAUCUCAUUAUGGUUUUGAUUUGCAUUUCUUGAUUAUUAGUGAUGUUGAGCAUCCAUUCAUCUGCUUAAUGGCAUUUGUACAUCUUCUUUGAAGAAACGUUUAUUCUAGUCCUUUGUCCGUAUUUUAAUUGGGUGGUAUUUUUGUUGUUGAGUUGUAGGAGUUUUUUAUAUAUUCUGGAUAUAACCCCUUAUCAAAUAUAUAAUUUGCAAAUGUAUUUUCCCAUUCUAUAAGUUGUCUUUUCACUGUUGUUUUUUGAUGCACGAGAAGUUUUCACUUUUGAUGUAGUCCAUCUGAUCUGUUUUUUUUUGGUUGCCUGUGCUUUUGGUGUCAUAUCCAAGAAAUCAUUGCCAAAUCUACUGUCGUGAAGCUUUUCCACAGUGUUUUCUUCUAAGAGUUUUAUGGUUUUAGGUCUUAUGUUUAUGGCUUUGAUUCCUUUUGUUUUUGUAUAUCACAUAAGGUAAAGGUCUGCUGUGGACUGAAUGUUUGUCCCCUCUCUACAACUGAUAUGUUUAAGUCUUUGGAUUUAGUAGGUGGAGCUUUUGGGGAGUGCUUAAGUCAGAGCCCUCAUGAAUGGAGUUGGUGCUCUUAUAAAAGAGACUUCGGAGAGAUCCCAUGCCUUUCCACCAGGUGAGGACACAGCAAGAAGGCACCAGCUUAUGAACUAGGAAGAGGGCUCUCACCAGAAGGUUGUCAUCCUGGCACCUUGAUGUUGGACUUCCCAGCCUCCAGAACUGUGAGAAACAUUUCUGUUAUUUGUAAAUAGGUACCCAGGCAAUGGUAUUUUGUUAUAGCAGCCUAAACAGACUAAGUCCAUCUUUAUUCUUUUGUAUGUGGAUAUUCAGUUUUCCCAACACUGUAAUAAGUUUCGAAAUCAAGUAUAAUACCUCUAACUUUGUUCUUUUUUCAAGGUUAUUUUAGCUCAUCAGGAGUCCUUGAGAGUCCAUAUGAAUGUUAGGAUGGAUGUUUCUAUUCAAAAAAUGCCAUUGGGAUUUGGAAAGAGAUUGUGUUAAAUCUGUAGAUCACCUUGGAUGGUAUUGACAUCUUAACAGUAUUAUCUUUCAGUCCACGAACACAGAACGUCCUUCCAUUUAUUUGUGUCUUGUUUAAUUUCUUUCACUACUGUUUUGUAGUUUUUAGUGUACACGUCUUUUGCCUCCUUGUUAAAUUUAUUCAUAAGUAUUAUAUUCUUUUUGAUGUUAUUGUAAGUGGAACUGUUUUCCUAAAUUCCUUUUCAGAUAGUUUGUUAGUAUAUAAAAACAUCUGAUUUUUGUGUGUUGAUUUUGUAUUUUCCAGCUUUGCUGAAUUCAUUUAUUAGUUCUAACAGUGUGUGUGUAUUAUCUUUUAGGGCUUUCACAUAUCAGAUCUUGCUGUCUGUGAACAGAGAUCAUUUUACUUCUUCCUUUUCUAUUUGGAUGCCUUUUAUUUCUUUUUCUUGACUUACUGUUCUGGCUAGGACUUACAGUAUUUUGUUCAAUAGAAUUGGUGACAGCAGGCAUCCUGAUCUUUGAGGAAAAGCUUUCAGUCUUUCACCAUUGAGUAUGUUAGCUGUGGGCUUUUCAUACAUGGCCUUCAUUUUGUUGAAGUAGUUCCCUUCUAUUCCUAGUUUGUUGAGUGUUUUUAUUGUGAAAAAGGGUAUUGAAUUUUGUCAGAUGCUUGCUCUAUAUCAAUUGAUAUGACCAUAUGGGUGUUUUUCCUGUCAUUUUAUAAACAUGGUGUAUUACCUUGAUUUUCUUAUGGUGAACUAUUCUUGCAUUCCAAGAAUAAAUCCCAAUUGGUCAUAUAUAAUAAUCCUUUUAAUGUGCUAAUGAAUUGUUUGCUAGUAUUUUGUUGACUAUUUUGUUGAGGAUUUCCUCUUGCUGCUUUUAAGUUUCUCUGUCUUUGAUUUUCAACAGUUGGGUCUCUUUGGAUAUAGUAUCCUGCUCAGUGUUUUUUGAGACUCUUUUAUUUUAAAAUAGGCUCUCUGUCCUCUUUCUCCUCUUCCUGGUACUCCCACUUUUUUGUACAUAUAUUGGUCCACUUAAUGGUGUCCCAUAAAUCCUUUAGACGUGUUCACUUUCUUCAUUCUUUUUUCUUUUUCCUCAUCUGACUCAAUAAUUUGAAAUGAUCUGUCUUCAAGUUCAGAUUCUUUCUUCUGCCUGAUCAGGUCUGAUGUUGAACCCCUGUGGUGAAUUUUUCAAUUCAGUUAUGGUAUUUUUGAGCUCCAGAAUUUGUUUGGUUCUUUUUAAUAAUUUGUAUCCCUGUGAGGAUUCUCAUUUUUAAAAAAUUGUUUUCCUUGAUUUUGUUUAGUUGUCUGCCCCUGUUCUCAUUUAGCUCACUGAGCAUAUAUAGAAAACUUGUUUUAAAUUCUUUCUCAAUUCAGAGGUCUGUGUUUUGUCAAGAUUGGUUUUGGGAGAUUCUUCAGAAUGAACGAUGGUUAGUUGUUUCUUUGUAUGUCUGGUGAUCUUCUGUUGAGAUUUGGGCACCGGAAACAACAGCCCCCCUCCCCCAGUCUUUACUGACUGGCUCCAGGCAGGGGAGGCUGGUUAUCAGCCCAUUUUUCAGGCUCAAAGGUGUGCAUCUUCCCUGGGACUGUGUGUGUGCUUUUAUUCCAGUUCCCCAUAAAUUCAGCUGCUUUUAAAUGUCUUUAUUUCCGUAAGAAUCUCAAUCCUGCUUGUUUUCAGAAGCCUUGAAUUUCUAUGGUAGUCCUCUGUCACCUCUUUCCCGCAGGCACCCCGGGUCUGUGGACCACCAGCAAUUCCGACAUGCCGCACGCUCCAGCCUGGCCCCCAAACCCACUGGCGUUCCCAUCACCGCUCCAUCCGGGGGACACUUACCAGCCCACCAGCCGUUUUGAGCAGGGCUUUUUCUUGUGUGGGCAUUCACGUGAUGGUUACAGCUUCUUAACUUGGUUUCUAGCGCUCUAGAGCUCUCUGUCUUAGUCCAUAUAUUGUUUAUUUGGUGUUUCUGUCGGGGACCAAAGGCCUGGAGCUUCUCAGUCAGCUAUCUUAUGCUGAUGUUACCUAAUAUUUCUUGCUUAAAAUAUGUUCUUUUGUUUUAUAUUACUGUUAUGAAAUUACUGGCAUAAAGAAAGUGAAAUCCAAACAGGAUAGGCUGACAUAAAAAAUGUCUCUUAUCCACUUCUAGCACACCAUUCGUACUUCGAAGGAUAACUCCUUAUAGCUAUUUGCAGUUAGAACUCUCCAAAGGUUAUUACCGCCUUAAUUCUGAAUAAUGUAGAUGUACUUUCAUUGUUUGAUUCACCAGUUUUGAAUUGUUCAAAUGACUUAAUACAACAGAAGAUGAGGCUUGUAAUACACUUGUCUUUCCUUCCAGUCAUGGUUAACGUUUUUACAUUUGUUUACAUUUUUAUAACUUAAAAGGAUGUUUAACAUGCAUAUAUAUAGACAGAACUUGAUGAAUUCCAGUAUGUACAUAAAGGAGAUAAGCACUCAGACUCUCCUCCAUUUCUUUUCUGCUACGCUGUAUUCUGAAUUGUCAAGUUUUCUAAAAUUUACAUUCUGUUCUGACUAUAAUUCUUUCAUGCUUUGAUUUUGAUUUGAAUGUUGUAAUUAUGUACAAGCAAAUAUUGCAAUUCACUAUAUAAGCAAAAUGUUAUAAACUCUUAAAGAAAUAUAAUUAUUCAUCACUGAAACUGCCUCUCAAAAAUUUUUUUCUUAAAUUUCAUUCAAAACAUCUUAUGUGUAUCGCUGACCCUGUUCUAGGAGUUUGGGUUACAUCCAUCACUCAGUCAAAAACAUGUCAUGUCUUUGGACAUGUUAUUGGUUUGUACUAGGAUAGCUAGAGUUGCCUUUUUGCUUGACAUUUAAAACAUGUUUAGUCACCAAAUUACUAAGAUCUUCUCAGUUUCAGCAUCACCAUCUCAGCGUGAUGACAUUGUAAACUGCAGUUCCUCUUCCAUCUCCGAGCUAUUUGUUCAGAGCAUUCAUCGUUUGCUAAUCUUAUUCUAGGCUUAGUGUCUCUGUCUCCUUCCCAUCUCAGCACUAGAAUGAAAGCUCCUGGGAGGGCAGAGUAGUUCUGUUCACUGCAGAACCCCCAGUACCUAAGAGUGGGCACAUCAUGCUCGCAUAGAAAAAAGAAAAAAAUUUGAAUGCCUGAAUCUUCUAGCUAUUAAGUGGUACCCAUUUAAUUAUGCGUCAUAUAACCGAUUUUCCUAAAAUCUCAUGGUUUGUUCUAAUUUGGAUAGAUUACUUUCUAGGUCUGCUUCAGACCUAGAAAUCCUGAGAUUUCUUUUAAUUACAUUAGAUUUGUUCUACUCGUCUUUACAGAGCAUAUUUUCAAGUGUUUUCAGGCAGCAUGUUUAUAAAGUUCUUGAUUCCUUGCUAGUCUGAUCUUUAUUUCACCAUCUCACUUCAUUGAGAGUUCAGCUGUAGAUAGCUCAAAAUAACUUCUCUCAGAAGUUUGAGGGGAGUGCUCUGUUACAUGCUAGACCUCACUGUUGCUGAGAAAUCUAGUAAAUCCUCAGGAGGAGGGCUAAUUGGAGAAGUAACAUAAUUUCCCACAGCUAAGUAAAUGGGUCUGCAGAACAAAAAGGUUGACUGAGGACUGUGAAGUGUGAAAGUAUAAACGCAAAAACUGUUUUUUGAAAUUCUAAAUCAUGAGGAAUGAAGAGAUCAUUCCUUUUUGAAAUUCUCUUCAGAGCAUCAUCCUUGCUUUCUUUUUGUAAAAGAAACUUAUUUCAUAAGUUUUAGCAAAUUCCUGUUAAUCACAGUUUGGACCACUGGAAUCCUCCAUUUCCUUUAACUUCUCAUCCCUCAUAUGACUAACCAGAGUGACUUUUUUCUAAUGUUUACCUGUCACAUUAGUUUCCUUUAGGAAUAUCAGCCUUCUGGGAAGAGGGCGUGAGAAAGGACUGCGGCCAUGGCUCUGCUGUACACAAGGUGGAUGUGGCUGCAUCUGCAGAUGACGACCCAGUCACUCGUUUCCUGUACCUCUAUGCUGUGGUCUGAAUGUUUCAGUCCCCCCAACCCCGAAAUUCAUGUUGACAUCCUAACUAACUCCCAAAGGUGAUGGUAUUAGGAGGUGAGGCCUCGUGAGGGUGUAACUCUCAUGAAUGGAAUCAGCACCUUAGGAGAAAGCCUCCAGAGAGCUCCCCAGCCCCUUCUAGCAUGUGAAGAUAUGAGGCGUAGGACCCAAGAAAGGGCCCUCACCUGACCAUGCUGGCACCCUCUGAAACUGUGAGGAAAUAACUUUUUCUGUUGUUUACAGGCUUCCCAGUCUGGGGUAUUUUGUUAUAACAGCCCCAAAGGACCAAAACACUUUCCAAGCUGCAAAAAUCAGAGACUUUGUGUGGCAGUUCUCAUGAUACAGCCAAACCUACCUGACCCAGUCCCAGUAUUUGACCAAGCUGACAGGUUGUAUUUGGUGAGUACACAGAUCUUUGUUCUAAACCAGGAUUUCUCAGUUGUGGCACCAUGACACUGGGGCUGUCCCAUGUGCCACAGAUAUAGAGCAACCUACCUGAUUUCCACACCUACCAUUUGUCAGCACCCCUUCCUCCAGUUGUGACUAUCAGACUGUCUCCACACUUUGCCAGGUGUUCUCUGGGGAACCACUGUCCUACACUAUUUUAGGGAGCAAACUCUAACCUGCCCAGACUUUCUGGGAUGAUGGAAAUGUUCAGUAACUAUCUAACAUGGUAGCUGAUCGCUACACAAAGCUAUUAAGCACCUGAAAUGUGGCUAAGGAAUAGAAUUCUUUAAAUCCUACAAGUACUGUGAGGAUAAAAUGCUUCAGUACGGAAAGCUGAAUAGGUGUUUGAUUCCUUUGUUAAACAUCAUGUGAUGUUGACAGGUAAGUCCCAUUUCCAAUAUUUAGGGUUCACUCUGACCAGGCAUUUGUUAAAUUGUACAGUGAAGUUUACCAGUUUAGAAAUUUAAAUUCUCUUUU
Pteropus alecto (black flying fox) is the source of this 7862-nucleotide long non-coding RNA. RefSeq lists it as uncharacterized. NCBI's taxonomy places the organism in Eukaryota, Metazoa, Chordata, Mammalia, Chiroptera, Pteropodidae. The transcript is spliced from 3 exons. The record is from RefSeq and is a predicted model, not a curated record.